UCGACUGUUUAUCAAAACAUAGCCAUAAGUAAACAUUUAUGGUAUUAUCUGCCCGGUGAAAAUUUUAACGGCCGCAGUACCUUGACUGUGCAAAGGUAGCAUAAUCAUUUGACUUUUAAAUGGAGCCUGGAAUGAAAGAAAGAACGUAGACAUCUUGUCUUGCUAAUAAUAUUUUAAAAUUACUAUAUGAGUGAAAAUACUCAUUAAUUAUAAAAUAGACGAGAAGACCCUUAGAAUUUUUAAAAUAUGUAAGUAGGUCUUAUAAGGUUUUUUGUUGGGGCAACAAUAUUUCAUAAAAUAAAUAUUAUGAGGAUGGAUAAGUCGAUUUAAUAAUUAUAAAAAAAUUACCUAAGGGAUAACAGCAUAAUUUAUAGUAAGCUUGUGAC
RNAcentral lists this ribosomal RNA (386 nucleotides) under Albinaria nivea. Its description in RNAcentral is "partial 16S ribosomal RNA". It matches the Rfam family "Bacterial large subunit ribosomal RNA", at positions 1796 to 2524 of the family's 2925-position model. Lineage: Eukaryota; Metazoa; Mollusca; Gastropoda; Stylommatophora; Clausiliidae. The record is from RNAcentral.